GAUGAACGCUAGCUACAGGCUUAACACAUGCAAGUCGAGGGGAAACGACAUCGAAAGCUUGCUUUUGGUGGGCGUCGACCGGCGCACGGGUGAGUAACGCGUAUCCAACCUGCCCACCACUUGGGGAUAACCUUGCGAAAGUAAGACUAAUACCCAAUGAUAUCCCACGAAGGCAUCCGAAUGGGAUUAAAGAUUUAUCGGUGAUGGAUGGGGAUGCGUCUGAUUAGCUUGUUGGCGGGGUAACGGCCCACCAAGGCGACGAUCAGUAGGGGUUCUGAGAGGAAGGUCCCCCACAUUGGAACUGAGACACGGUCCAAACUCCUACGGGAGGCAGCAGUGAGGAAUAUUGGUCAAUGGGCGAGAGCCUGAACCAGCCAAGUAGCGUGCAGGAUGACGGCCCUAUGGGUUGUAAACUGCUUUUAUGCGGGGAUAAAGUGUGCCAUGUAUGGCAUUUUGUAGGUACCGCAUGAAUAAGGACCGGCUAAUUCCGUG
This 492-nucleotide ribosomal RNA is filed under the name uncultured bacterium. RNAcentral's name for it is "bacterial SSU rRNA". It matches the Rfam family "Bacterial small subunit ribosomal RNA", at positions 28 to 507 of the family's 1533-position model. The record is from RNAcentral.